UUAUAAAAUUUUACUUUUUGUAUAAAAUAUACUAAAAAGUUUAAUUUUGGCUUUGAGAUUCAUUAUAAGGUUAUUUUACAUGGAUUAUUUAUUUAAAAAUUUUUUUGUCAGUAAUUAUUAUUGAAAAAUUAUAAAUGUAAGUUUCAGUAAAUUUUAAAAAUCUAAUUAAAUUUGUGCCAGCAAUUGCGGUUACACAAAUGGAUUAAUGAAUUUAUUUGGUAUUAAAUGUUAAUUUAUUUGGUUUAAAAUUUUAAUUUUUAGGUGAAAUUUAAAUUAAAAUUUUUAUUUUUAUGAUUUUUAAUUUAUUAAAAUUUAAAAUAAAACUAGGAUUAGAUACCCUAUUAUUUAAAUAGUAAAAAAAAUUACCUGAUUAGUAUUAGUUAUGUUCUUGAAAAUUAAAAAAUUUGGCGGUAUUUUAGUCAGUUCAGAGGAACCUGUCCUAUAAUUGAUAUUCCACGAUAAGUUUCACUUUUUCUUUAAGUUUGUAUAUCGUUGUUUAGAAUUUUUUUUUAGAAUUAUAAUUUUCAAUUUUUACAAUGAUAAAAUAUGUCAAAUCAAGGUGCAGCUUAUGAAAAAGAAGAGAUGGGUUACAAUAAAAAUAUUUUUGAAUUAUAAAUUUAGAUUUUUAUAUGAAAAUGGAUUUGAUAGUAAUUUUUAAUAUUUAUUAGAAAUGAUUCAUGCUCUAAAAUAUGCACAUAUUGCCCGUCACUCUCAUUUAAAUUGGGAUAAGUCGUAACAAAGUAGGUGUACUGGAAAGUGUACCUAGAAUUAU
RNAcentral lists this non-coding RNA (772 nucleotides) under Bicellonychia lividipennis. The record is from RNAcentral. Lineage: Eukaryota; Metazoa; Arthropoda; Insecta; Coleoptera; Lampyridae.